Molecule: small RNA, 47 nt
Filed under: bovine gut metagenome
Description: DUF3800-XI RNA
Rfam family: DUF3800-XI RNA
About the family: Actinobacteria, Firmicutes, Proteobacteria, Spirochaetes (1 example). Nearby to DUF3800
Source: RNAcentral
UGGGCUGGUAGUAAUACCUGGGUCCAACUAAAGGCGGGGAAAGUCCU